RNAcentral lists this long non-coding RNA (1204 nucleotides) under Coturnix japonica (Japanese quail). Its description in RNAcentral is "lncRNA (ENSCJPG00005003082.1)". The record is from RNAcentral. Lineage: Eukaryota; Metazoa; Chordata; Aves; Galliformes; Phasianidae.
AUGUUGAAGGAAAAGCCAUACAUCUUAUCCGUUCUCCUGCAGAGUGAGGUGCCAGGGGAGAGCAGCUCUUAUUUUAUCACGUUGCUGGCAGGAUGCAGUGUGGUGUGGGGCAUGACUCUUGGCCAGGCAGUGGUUUGUGUGCAUGCGCACGUAUGCUGGGCUCACACCCUAACACCAUGGCCAGUCUGCUGUAGGCAGCAAUAAGCAUUUAUUGGCUGGAAUGAGAGCCCCUGUGCUUUGUUCAGUUGAAAUGUACCCAUCUUACUUUAGCCAAAUGUAUUUUGCUUGCAGCAAAUGCAAGCAGAUGGCAGAGAUGCUCCAGAGAUUAAGCACCAUGAUCUUCUCUUGGUAGCCACUCCUAUUCUGUUAAAAACAAAGCAAAACAAGAGACACAUUACAGUAUUCAUUUACUGCAUGUAUGGUUCACCUGAGGGACAGCUCAUCACCAGAGCAGUAUGCCAACCCUGAUAAUGGCCACAUACACAUCAAUGUAGGCACCUUGUUCUCUAUCAGUUGCUUGCAAGCUGUACACAUAUUGCAGAAGCAGUAUUGCUGAACUCUCUCUAAAACACAGAAUGGUAGCUUUCCAUACUGAAAGUUAAAUUGCCUGAUCCUUGGUCUAUGGUCCACUUAAGGUUUAUUAAUGUAUGACAAAACAUCUUCCAAGUUUUCAAAGGGAAAUCUUCUGAAGUAACAAGAUCCAUUUCCUGUGAGUCGAUGCUAAGAUACUUCAAGUUAAAAAUAGGUAAGAAUUUUAAGCACACAAAGAUCUUACAACUGCAACAGCUUUCCGUCCCUCAGCUUGUAAAAACUGCUAUUGAAUGGGAUCAGAUAAGGUUCCCAAAGUGUUAAGUCUGGAAUAAGCAAAAAUGAAAUUUUGGAAGGCUGAAGGAUUUGUACUUUUAAAACCUGUGAAUGCUACAUAGGAAAAGCUUCCUGGCUUUUCUAUGUGCUACUAACACCACCAGCCUCUGAAAAUGGCAAAGUAAAUCCAUUUCCCUGUGCUCAGUCUAAGAAUGUCAUAGACUUCAUAAACUCAAAUCACUUAGUGAUUAUUAUUUUCCGUCUAGUAAUUAAAAAAAAAUAAUAUUAACAGUAAAUUAAAAACACCCUCAACAAACCCCAAACCACCAAACUGUAAGCUAAAUUCCCCUGAAACGGGCAGAUGUUUGAUCCCAGCAACAUAAGUUACUGUAAGCUUGGA